Molecule: ribosomal RNA, 253 nt
Filed under: uncultured bacterium
Lineage: Bacteria
Description: partial 16S ribosomal RNA
Rfam family: Bacterial small subunit ribosomal RNA
Source: RNAcentral
UACGGGGGGGGCAAGCGUUGUUCGGAAUUACUGGGCGUAAAGGGCUCGUAGGCGGCCCACUAAGUCAGACGUGAAAUCCCUCGGCUUAACCGGGGAACUGCGUCUGAUACUGGAUGGCUUGAGUUCGGGAGAGGGAUGCGGAAUUCCAGGUGUAGCGGUGAAAUGCGUAGAUAUCUGGAGGAACACCGGUGGCGAAGGCGGCAUCCUGGACCGACACUGACGCUGAGGAGCGAAAGCCAGGGGAGCAAACGGG